Long non-coding RNA from Clupea harengus (Atlantic herring), 1857 nucleotides. NCBI's taxonomy places the organism in Eukaryota, Metazoa, Chordata, Actinopteri, Clupeiformes, Clupeidae. The record is from Ensembl.
ACACACACACACACACACACCUCAUACAACGCCACCGCCAAAGGACGCAAGGCCAGCAAGUGAAAUACAGACUAGCACACACACCUAUACACAAUUCUACCGUCAAAGGCCGCAAGGCCAUUAAGUGACUUGUACAACACACACACACACACACACACACACACAAACACACAAACAAACAUAUACACCUCUACCGUCAAAGGCCGCAAGGCCAUUAAGUGACUUGUACAACACACACACACACACACACACACACAGCGCCAAGGCCAAGAUGGCCAGCAAGUGACUUGCUCUUUUCUCUUUUGCUCUAGUAGAACUGUUUUAUGAUUGUUUUUUUAAUCAGUUUUAUUUUGAUCACUGUGUCUAUUGCGUUAGCCUUAUCAAAUCUCUUAAUGUUAUCGUUAUCUCUUCAAAUCCAGCGUUCACAUCAUGGAAAAUGACUUCCUGUUCCUCUUCAAAUCGAGUUAGCAAAGCGCUAAGUGGCAUUAGCAGUCUUCACCCUUCCCCCGUCGCCAUGGAGACUGGAAUCCUUUUGCACUGAGUCAUUGGUUCAUGAGUCCUCUUGUCCUGGGAUGUCAUUGGCUGCAGGCCAACCACACUAACCAAUCACAUGCCGUGAUACUCAUACUUCCCUAAUGUCUUAAGGCAACCUAAGCUCUCAGGCUCUCUGCAUUUAUGAAGCACUGGAGUCAGUAUGACCCAUUAGAGGCCGUUCCUGUACACACCCCAUACACACACACACACACACACAGUAUGACGCCACAGCUUCCUGUGAUAACCAACACUUGACACGAGUGCUUAACAUGUCAGCACCACCUGAACUCAGAGAAACAGCGCGCAGAUACGAUACGACUAGCUGUCCUCACGCCGAAUGAUCCGAAGGAAUCACCUGUCGACAGGUGAUUCAGACCAAGGUAAAUGACUACCUGUCGACAGGUGAUUCAGACCAAGGUAGAUGACUACCUAUGGACAGGUGAUUCAGACCAAGGUAAAUGACUACCUGUCGACAGGUGAUUCAGACCAAGGUAAAUGACUACCUGUCGACAGGUGAUUCAGACCAAGGUAAAUGACUACCUGUCGACAGGUGAUUCAGACCAAGGUAGAUGACUACCUAUGGACAGGUGAUUCAGACCAAGGUAGAUGACUACCUGUGCACGUAUAACUGAGUCACAUACCUCACCUGUGAAAAGGUAGUUAAACUUGGAGGUGUUGAAGAGAUGGAGGCGCUUACACCUUUUCUCAGGUGAUUCAAACGUAGCUUACCUUUUGCACAGGUAACGGAGAGUGCCGCCUGUGUGUCGACAUUCACACAGGGUCACCUAGAGUGGCGUCUGCCUGUUUAUUGCCUUCUUCCUCGCGUACCCCGCCGGAUCAAUCUAUAGAAUUGCUACCCCCACCUGCGUCCAGGUAACUACAACAGGUCUCUAGAAGUACAUCUGUGUGCAGGUGAUUGAUUGAGCCACAGCUCUGGGAGAGCAGGUGUAUGUAUGCAGAUGAUCUGUAAUACUGUGUCAACAUGUUCAUUAUUAAACUCCAUUCACUCACUAACUGAGGCAGGUUUGGUUUAUUGUGUGAAAAAAAAGAUGGUUUUACAUUAAUAAUGUUGUCAUUAAUGCUUUCAGUGUUGGUAUUGCAUUUCCCCAACAUACACAUUUUCAUAAGUUGCCUCUGGAACACACAUUUCUAGAUGACUUUAAUACGAUCAACGGUGAUUUAAAACACACUUCUAGAUCACUUUAAUACGUUCAGCUGUGAUUUAAAACACACUUCUGUCACUUUAAUAGGUUCAGCGGUGAUUUAAAAACACACUUCUAGAUCACUUUAAAAGUAACAGUAUGUAGCAAUUGUACUUCAGGG